Ovis aries (sheep) is the source of this 72-nucleotide transfer RNA. It matches the Rfam family "tRNA". Rfam says of the family: Transfer RNA (tRNA) molecules are approximately 80 nucleotides in length. Their secondary structure includes four short double-helical elements and three loops (D, anti-codon, and T loops). Further hydrogen bonds mediate the characteristic L-shaped molecular structure. tRNAs have two regions of fundamental functional importance: the anti-codon, which is responsible for specific mRNA codon recognition, and the 3' end, to which the tRNAs corresponding amino acid is attached (by aminoacyl-tRNA synthetases). tRNAs cope with the degeneracy of the genetic code in two manners: having more than one tRNA (with a specific anti-codon) for a particular amino acid; and 'wobble' base-pairing, i.e. permitting non-standard base-pairing at the 3rd anti-codon position. The record is from Rfam. NCBI's taxonomy places the organism in Eukaryota, Metazoa, Chordata, Mammalia, Artiodactyla, Bovidae.
UCCCUGGUGGCUCAGAUGGUAAAGCGUCUGCCUACAAUGCACGAGACCCAGGUUCGAUCCCCGGUUUGGGAA